GACGAACGCUGGCGGCGUGCUUAACACAUGCAAGUCGAACGAAGUGGCGAACGGGUGAGUAACGCAUAAUCAACCUGCCCUUCAGAGGGGGACACCAGUUGGAAACGACUGCUAAUACCGCAUACUGAAGGCGUGGAUUGCGUCUGAUUCGCUAGUUGGCGGGGUAACGGCCCACCAAGGCGAUGAUCAGUAGGCGGGCUGAGGGGGUGAACGGCCACCUUGGGACUGGUACAAGGCCCAGACUCCUACGGGAGGCAGGAGGGGGGAAUCUUCCGCAAUGGACGAAAGUCUGACGGAGCAACGCCGCGUGAGUGAUGAAGGCCUUCGGGUUGGAAAGCUCUGUUAAUCGGGACGCGGUACCGGAAUAGAAAGCCACGGCUAACUACGUGCCAGCAGCCGCGGUAAUUC
RNAcentral lists this ribosomal RNA (408 nucleotides) under uncultured bacterium. RNAcentral describes it as "partial 16S ribosomal RNA". It matches the Rfam family "Bacterial small subunit ribosomal RNA", at positions 28 to 526 of the family's 1533-position model. The record is from RNAcentral.